Molecule: long non-coding RNA, 220 nt
Organism: Mastomys coucha (southern multimammate mouse)
Lineage: Eukaryota; Metazoa; Chordata; Mammalia; Rodentia; Muridae
Exons: 2
Source: RefSeq, a predicted model, not a curated record
UGGUUCCAUGCUGUGAUAUCUGGGGAGAAAGUCUCACUCCAUCAUGGUGGGAAAAGCAGUGCUGGGUGCUUUUUCCCUCCCACCCCAGGAACUGAAUCUCCAGUCGGGGGUCCCUGUCAAGCCAGCACGCUAGACUUCACUGGGGAAAUUCAAGCACCUGUAGAUCUGGAACCCCAACACUGAGCCUUUGCUCAGAUAAAAGAUUACUCUCUGUUACAGA